Molecule: transfer RNA, 73 nt
Filed under: Kwoniella pini CBS 10737
Lineage: Eukaryota; Fungi; Basidiomycota; Tremellomycetes; Tremellales; Cryptococcaceae
Description: tRNA-Arg (ACG) (tRNA-Arg-ACG-1-1)
Rfam family: tRNA
About the family: Transfer RNA (tRNA) molecules are approximately 80 nucleotides in length. Their secondary structure includes four short double-helical elements and three loops (D, anti-codon, and T loops).
Source: RNAcentral
GUCCCCGUAGCACAGUGGUUAGUGCGCCUGACUACGAAUCAGGAGGCCGCAUGUUCAAUCCAUGCCUGGGAUU